This 496-nucleotide ribosomal RNA is filed under the name uncultured bacterium. RNAcentral describes it as "partial 16S ribosomal RNA". It matches the Rfam family "Bacterial small subunit ribosomal RNA", at positions 28 to 506 of the family's 1533-position model. The record is from RNAcentral.
GAUGAACGCUGGCGGCGUGCCUAAUACAUGCAAGUCGAGCGAACAGACGAGGAGCUUGCUCCUCUGACGUUAGCGGCGGACGGGUGAGUAACACGUGGAUAACCUACCUAUAAUACUGGGAUAACUUCGGGAAACCGGAGCUAAUACCGGAUAAUAUAUUGAACCGCAUGGUUCAAUAGUGAAAGACGGUUUUGCUGUCACUUAUAGAUGGAUCCGCGCCGCAUUAGCUAGUUGGUAAGGUAACGGCUUACCAAGGCAACGAUGCGUAGCCGACCUGAGAGGGUGAUCGGCCACACUGGAACUGAGACACGGUCCAGACUCCUACGGGAGGCAGCAGUAGGGAAUCUUCCGCAAUGGGCGAAAGCCUGACGGAGCAACGCCGCGUGAGUGAUGAAGGUCUUCGGAUCGUAAAACUCUGUUAUUAGGGAAGAACAAAUGUGUAAGUAACUAUGCACGUCUUGACGGUACCUAAUCAGAAAGCCACGGCUAACUACGU